This 273-nucleotide ribosomal RNA is filed under the name uncultured bacterium. RNAcentral's name for it is "partial 16S ribosomal RNA". It matches the Rfam family "Bacterial small subunit ribosomal RNA", at positions 524 to 796 of the family's 1533-position model. The record is from RNAcentral.
UACGUAGGGGGCGAGCGUUGUCCGGAAUUAUUGGGCGUAAAGAGCGUGUAGGCGGUUCGGUAAGUCUGCCGUGAAAACCUGAGGCUCAACCUCGGGCGUGCGGUGGAUACUGCCGGGCUAGAGGACGGUAGAGGCGAGUGGAAUUCCCGGUGUAGCGGUGAAAUGCGCAGAUAUCGGGAGGAACACCAGUAGCGAAGGCGGCUCGCUGGGCCGUUCCUGACGCUGAGACGCGAAAGCUAGGGGAGCGAACCGGAUUAGAUACCCGCGUAGUCC